RNAcentral lists this long non-coding RNA (638 nucleotides) under Nicotiana tabacum (common tobacco). Its description in RNAcentral is "long non-coding RNA (NTAB_LNC006033)". The record is from RNAcentral. Lineage: Eukaryota; Viridiplantae; Streptophyta; Magnoliopsida; Solanales; Solanaceae.
AUUAGGGUUUUAAACCCUAAACUGAACUUUUUCCAUGCAGUCAGCAUCAGGGUUUUAAACCCUAAACUGAACUUUUUCCUUUAGUCAGCAUUAGGGUUUUAAACCCUAAACUGAACUUUUUCCUUUAAUCAGCAUUAGGGGUUUAAACCCUAAACUGAACUUUUUUCCUUUAAUUAGCAUUAGGGUUUUAAACCCUAAACUGAACUUUUUCCAUUCAGCCAGCAUUAGGGUUUUAAACCCUAAACUGAGCUUUUCCAUGCAGUCAGCAUCAGGGUAUUAAACCCUAAACUGAACUUUUUCCUUUAGUCAGCAUUAGGGUUUUAAACCAUAAACUGAACUUUUUUCCUUUAAUCAGCAUUAGGGUUUUAAACCCUAAACUGAACUUUUUCCUUUAAUCAGCAUUAGGGUUUUAAACCCUAAACUGACCUUUUUCCUUUAAUCAGCAUUAGGGUUUUAAACCCUAUACUGAACUUCUUUCUUUCAGUCAGCAUUAGGGUUUUAAACCCUAAACUGAACUUUUCCAUUCAGUCAGCAUUAGGGUUUUAAACCCUAAACUGAACUCUAUCCUUUGGUCAGCAUUAGGGUUUUAAACCCUAAACUAAAUUUUUCCUUUAGUCAGCAUUAGGGUUUUAAACCCU